RNAcentral lists this ribosomal RNA (497 nucleotides) under uncultured bacterium. RNAcentral describes it as "partial 16S ribosomal RNA". It matches the Rfam family "Bacterial small subunit ribosomal RNA", at positions 28 to 507 of the family's 1533-position model. The record is from RNAcentral.
GAUGAACGCUGGCGGCGUGCCUAAUACAUGCAAGUCGAGCGAACAGACGAGGAGCUUGCUCCUCUGACGUUAGCGGCGGACGGGUGAGUAACACGUGGAUAACCUACCUAUAAGACUGGGAUAACUUCGGGAAACCGGAGCUAAUACCGGAUAAUAUAUUGAACCGCAUGGUUCAAUAGUGAAAGACGGUUUUGCUGUCACUUAUAGAUGGAUCCGCGCCGCAUUAGCUAGUUGGUAAGGUAACGGCUUACCAAGGCAACGAUGCGUAGCCGACCUGAGAGGGGGAUCGGCCACACUGGAACUGAGACACGGUCCAGACUCCUACGGGAGGCAGCAGUAGGGAAUCGGCCGCAAUGGGCGAAAGCCUGACGGAGCAACGCCGCGUGAGUGAUGAAGGUCUUCGGAUCGUAAAACUCUGUUAUUAGGGAAGAACAAAUGUGUAAGUAACUAUGCACGUCUUGACGGUACCUAAUCAGAAAGCCACGGCUAACUACGUG